Molecule: long non-coding RNA, 203 nt
Filed under: Phoenix dactylifera (date palm)
Lineage: Eukaryota; Viridiplantae; Streptophyta; Magnoliopsida; Arecales; Arecaceae
Description: long non-coding RNA (PDAC_LNC002194)
Source: RNAcentral
CAGCACGGAAAAAUCCUGAUGCCCCUUCUAGCUAGCACGCUCCUGGUAGGAAGGCAUCCAUCCCCAAGCUAUCUUUUAAAGAAACAAGACCACCCGAGGAUGAACCCGCAAUAUCCAAAUCCAUCUGCCCUCCAAUUGCUGAUCAGUACCUCCUCCUAACAUCCCCUGAAUGUCUCGGCACACACCUUGGACCUACUAGUGGC